GAUCUGUAUUUAUUUAUUUUUGAGGUUAUGCCAGUCGUAGGGCUACAAAUUGUUCUAUUAAUUUAGGUUAAUAGUGAAUAAUUCAUUUAAUCUUUAUAUUUACUGAUUAGAAACAUUAUACAUAAUCAAAUUAUGUCGGGUAAAAUCAGGAGAGAUGUGUUAAAAGCAUUUAAAUCCUUGCACCGAGCUAGAACUUCUGUUUUUAAUGGAGACGAAUUUGCUCUUCAAGUUGCACGAAAUAAGAUAAAUGAAGAAUUUGAGAAAAACAAACACAUUACAGAUGAAAAUGUCAUUCGUGAGAUGAUUAAGUACUCUAAAGAAGUGGAAAUGGAGUUAAGGACCACAGUAGUUCAAGCGAAAGAAAUUGAACCUGGAAAGUAUGAAGUAAGAAUAACAGAGGAUACGGCUAAAAUGGAGAAUAUCCCAUUUCAGGAUGUUCCUGAGGAGGUGCUUCUCACAAACAAGAGAAAGGCAUCUACAAAAUGUAGUGGGAAACAAAGUACAUUAGAGUCCCAUUAGUUCGAACCAUUGGGAACAAAGUAAUAUUUUUGGACUAACCAGAUUUGUAGGAGAAGCUGUAUAGAAGAAGCUUUCAAGGUCAUCAGGAUUUUGGUAGUUAUUUCUUCAGAUCCCAGGAUGUUUCAUGUGAGUGGGAGCAUUAGCAGGAAACAUGCUCAUCCGUUUGUGAAGGCAUUCAUUCAGUGAGCAGUACCUCUCAUUCAUUUGCAGAAAUCUUUUAACAUCUGAUAUUAAAAGCAAACACUCCACCAAAAAACUCACUGACUUAUCUACAACCAAGAUAAAAUUCUGUCAUGAGCUUUCUUUGCCGAUAAAGAUGUAUGGCUGCAAGAAAGUAUUUGUGCCAUAGAUUUUGAAGUUUUAUCACGAGCUUCCUUCAUCGAUAAAGACGUAUGGCUGCAAGAAGAUAUUUCUGCCUUGAAUCUUCAAGUUUUGUCACGCAGAGUCAGCAAAGCUCAUGACUAAAAGCUAUGAUCCGCCAGUAGCCCUACUUAAAGCUUGUGAUAAAACUUGAAGAUUCAAGGCAGAAAUACCUUCUUGCAGCCAUACAUCUUUAUCAACGAAUGAAGCUCAUGACAAAACUUCAAAAUUUAAGAUGAAAUUCUACUAUGAGAACUAAUAAGAUAGUGAGUAUGAUCUGUUCUGGUAUGGAAAUGAAUAUUCAAUAGUAGUUGCAAAUCUUACGUUGAUCUUUGACCUUUUUAUCUUACUAAAUAAAUUAUUAUAUUAACACUAUAAUCUAUGCAAGAAGCUGUAAAUAAUAUUAGUUGUUUAUUUUAAUAUAAACUUAUUAUUGUUGGUAUGAAGUAAAUUAUCUAUGUAAUUGUAAACUUACCAUUUUAGCUCCCAUGUGGCACAAUGUCUAGUCAUAAACUACUCAGAAGAUUCAAGCACGUGUAAGUAAGCCCUUGGAAUGAACAUGUUAAAAAGCAUGAUUUUGGUUAAAAUUGCAAAGAAUUGUACUGCUUAGUAUAUAAUAAAAUGUAUAAUACCAUUAUUAUUAAAUUUGUAUUGUUUA
This is an RNA transcript of Homalodisca vitripennis (glassy-winged sharpshooter), 1537 nucleotides long. It is a transcript of the gene named complex III assembly factor LYRM7-like, with no coding region annotated. Lineage: Eukaryota; Metazoa; Arthropoda; Insecta; Hemiptera; Cicadellidae. The transcript has 6 exons. The record is from RefSeq and is a predicted model, not a curated record.